This 486-nucleotide ribosomal RNA is filed under the name uncultured bacterium. RNAcentral describes it as "bacterial SSU rRNA". It matches the Rfam family "Bacterial small subunit ribosomal RNA", at positions 30 to 507 of the family's 1533-position model. The record is from RNAcentral.
AUUGAACGCUGGCGGCAUGCCUAACACAUGCAAGUCGAACGGCAGCACGGGAGCUUGCUCCUGGUGGCGAGUGGCGGACGGGUGAGUAAUGCAUAGGAAUCUGCCCAGUAGCGGGGGACACUUGGGGAAACUCAAGCUAAUACCGCAUGCGCCCUACGGGGGAAAGCGGGGGACCUUCGGGCCUCGCACUAUUGGAUGAGCCUAUGUCAGAUUAGCUUGUUGGUGGGGUAACGGCCUACCAAGGCGACGAUCUGUAGCUGGUCUGAGAGGACGAUCAGCCACACUGGGACUGAGACACGGCCCAGACUCCUACGGGAGGCAGCAGUGGGGAAUAUUGCACAAUGGGCGAAAGCCUGAUGCAGCAAUGCCGCGUGUGUGAAGAAGGCCUGCGGGUUGUAAAGCACUUUCAGUAGGGAGGAAACAGUAGGCGGUUAAUAUCCGGUUGCCUUGACGUUACCUACAGAAGAAGCACCGGCUAACUCUGUG